GGAAACAGGUGCUAAUACCGUAUAACACUAUUUUCCGCAUGGAAGAAAGUUGAAAGGCGCUUUUGCGUCACUGAUGGAUGGACCCGCGGUGCAUUAGCUAGUUGGUGAGGUAACGGCUCACCAAGGCCACGAUGCAUAGCCGACCUGAGAGGGUGAUCGGCCACACUGGGACUGAGACACGGCCCAGACUCCUACGGGAGGCAGCAGUAGGGAAUCUUCGGCAAUGGACGAAAGCCUGACCGAGCAACGCCGCGUGAGUGAAGAAGGUUUUCGGAUCGUAAAACUCCGUUGUUAGAGAAGAACAAGGAUGAGAGUAAAAUGUUCAUCCCUUGACGGUAUCUAACCAGAAAGCCACGGCUAACUACGUGCCAGCAGCCGCGGUAAUACGUAGGUGGCAAGCGUUGUCCGGAUUUAUUGGGCGUAAAGCGAGCGCAGGCGGUUUCUUAAGUCUGAUGUGAAAGCCCCCGGCUCAACCGGGGAGGGUCAUUGGAAACUGGGAGACUUGAGUGCAGAAGAGGAGAGUGGAAUUCCAUGUGUAGCGGUGAAAUGCGUAGAUAUAUGGAGGAACACCAGUGGCGAAGGCGGCUCUCUGGUCUGUAACUGACGCUGAGGCUCGAAAGCGUGGGGAGCGAACAGGAUUAGAUACCCUGGUAGUCCACGCCGUAAACGAU
RNAcentral lists this ribosomal RNA (671 nucleotides) under uncultured bacterium. RNAcentral's name for it is "bacterial SSU rRNA". It matches the Rfam family "Bacterial small subunit ribosomal RNA", at positions 152 to 810 of the family's 1533-position model. The record is from RNAcentral.